Molecule: ribosomal RNA, 274 nt
Filed under: uncultured bacterium
Lineage: Bacteria
Description: partial 16S ribosomal RNA
Rfam family: Bacterial small subunit ribosomal RNA
Source: RNAcentral
AUACGGAGGGUCCAAGCGUUAUCCGGAUUCAUUGGGUUUAAAGGGUCCGCAGGCGGGAAAAUAAGUCAGUGGUGAAAGCCUACAGCUCAACUGUAGAACUGCCAUUGAUACUGUUUUUCUUGAGUAUAGAUGAAGUGGGCGGAAUAUAUCAUGUAGCGGUGAAAUGCAUAGAUAUGAUAUAGAACACCGAUUGCGAAGGCAGCUCACUAAACUAUUACUGACGCUCAGGGACGAAAGCGUGGGGAGCGAACAGGAUUAGAUACCCUAGUAGUCC